UUACCGAGUGCUAUUAUAGAACAGUACAAUUACUUUGAACAAAUUAGAGUGCUUAAAGCAGGCCAAUUGUGCCUAAAUAUUCUGUGCAUGGAAUAAUGGAAUAGGACGUCUGUUCUAUUUUCAAUUGGUUUUUAGAUCAAGACGUAAUGAUUAAUAGAAGCAGUUGGGGGCAUUAGUAUUACGGCGCGAGAGGUGAAAUUCGUGGACCGUCGUAAGACUAACAUAAGCGAAAGCAUUUGCCAAAGAUGUUUUCAUUAAUCAAGAACGAAAGUUAGAGGUUCGAAGGCGAUCAGAUACCGCCCUAGUUCUAACCAUAAACGAUGCCAGCUAGCAAUUGAAUGUAGCUACUCCUAUGGCUCUUUCAGGCGCUUUUCGGGAAACCAAAGCUUUUGGGCUCCGGGG
This 402-nucleotide ribosomal RNA is filed under the name Tipulidae environmental sample. Its description in RNAcentral is "SSU rRNA". It matches the Rfam family "Eukaryotic small subunit ribosomal RNA", at positions 723 to 1119 of the family's 1831-position model. Lineage: Eukaryota; Metazoa; Arthropoda; Insecta; Diptera; Tipulidae. The record is from RNAcentral.